This 406-nucleotide ribosomal RNA is filed under the name uncultured bacterium. RNAcentral describes it as "partial 16S ribosomal RNA". It matches the Rfam family "Bacterial small subunit ribosomal RNA", at positions 29 to 526 of the family's 1533-position model. The record is from RNAcentral.
AUUGAACGCUGGCGGCAGGCCUAACACAUGCAAGUCGAACGAGUGGCGGACGGGUGAGUAAUGUCUGGGAAACUGCCUGAUGGAGGGGGAUAACUAAUGGAAACGGUAGCUAAUACCGCCUAACCUAGGAUGGGCCCAGGUGGGAUUAGCUGGUGGGUGGGGUAAAGGCUCACAUAGGCGACGAUGCCUAGCUGGGCUGAGAGGAUGACCAGCCAAACUGGAACUGAGACACGGUCCAGAUUCCGACGGGAGGCAGCAGUGGGUAUUAUGGCACAAUGGGCGCAAGCCUGAUGAAGCCAUGCCGCGUGUAUGAAGAAGGCCUUCGGGUUGUAAAGUACUUUCAGCGGGGAGGCGUUACCCGCAGAAGAAGCACCGGCUAACUCCGUGCCAGCAGCCGCGGUAAUAC